GUAAACGGCGGCCGUAACUAUAACGGUCCUAAGGUAGCGAAAUUCCUUGUCGGGUAAGUUCCGACCUGCACGAAUGGUGUAACGAUCUGGGCACUGUCUCAGCCAUGAGCUCGGUGAAAUUGUAGUAUCGGUGAAGAUGCCGAUUACCCGCAACGGGACGGAAAGACCCCGUGAACCUUCACUACAACUUAACAUUGAUUUUGGGUAAAUAAUGUGUAGAAUAGGUGGGAGACUUUGAAGCAGCUUCGCUAGGAGUUGUGGAGUCAUAAUGUGAAAUACCACCCUUUAUUUAUCUGAACUCUAAUUCCUAUAUGGAAAACAGUGUUUGGUGGGUAGUUUGACUGGGGUGGUCGCCUCCAAAAGAGUAACGGAGGCUUCCAAAGGUACCCUCAGCACGCUUGGUAACCGUGCGUAGAGUGUAAUGGCAUAAGGGUGCUUAACUGUAAGACCUACAAGUCGAGCAGAGACGAAAGUCGGGCAUAGUGAUCCGGUGGUUCCGUAUGGAAGGGCCAUCGCUCAAAGGAUAAAAGGUACUCCGGGGAUAACAGGCUGAUCACUCCCAAGAGCUCAUAUCGACGGAGUGGUUUGGCACCUCGAUGUCGGCUCGUCACAUCCUGGGGCUGGAGAAGGUCCCAAGGGUUGGGCUGUUCGCCCAUUAAAGUGGCACGCGAGCUGGGUUCAGAACGUCGCGAGACAGUUCGGUCCCUAUCUGUUGUGGGCGUUAGAAAUUUGAGAGAACCUGUUCCUAGUACGAGAGGACCGGAAUGGACGAACCUCUAGUGUACCUGUUGUGGCGCCAGCUGCAUUGCAGGGUAGCUACGUUCGGAUGAGAUAAGCGCUGAAAGCAUCUAAGCACGAAACUCAUCUCAAGAUUAGAUUUCUUUUAAGGGUCGUUAUAGACGAUGACGUUGAUAGGUCACAAGUGUAAGUGUAGAAAUACAUUUAGCUGAGUGAUACUAAUUACCCGUAGACUUUGAUUUA
Molecule: ribosomal RNA, 981 nt
Filed under: metagenome
Description: bacterial LSU rRNA
Rfam family: Bacterial large subunit ribosomal RNA
Source: RNAcentral